UUAAAUUGAAGAGUUUGAUCAUGGCUCAGAUUGAACGCUGGCGGCAGGCCUAACACAUGCAAGUCGAACGGUAACAGGAAGCAGCUUGCUGCUUUGCUGACGAGUGGCGGACGGGUGAGUAAUGUCUGGGAAACUGCCUGAUGGAGGGGGAUAACUACUGGAAACGGUGGCUAAUACCGCAUAACGUCGCAAGACCAAAGAGGGGGACCUUCGGGCCUCUUGCCAUCAGAUGUGCCCAGAUGGGAUUAGCUUGUUGGUGAGGUAACGGCUCACCAAGGCGACGAUCCCUAGCUGGUCUGAGAGGAUGACCAGCCACACUGGAACUGAGACACGGUCCAGACUCCUACGGGAGGCAGCAGUGGGGAAUAUUGCACAAUGGGCGCAAGCCUGAUGCAGCCAUGCCGCGUGUAUGAAGAAGGCCUUCGGGUUGUAAAGUACUUUCAGCGGGGAGGAAGGUGUUGCGGUUAAUAACCGCAGCAAUUGACGUUACCCGCAGAAGAAGCACCGGCUAACUCCGUGCCAGCAGCCGCGGUAAUACGGAGGGUGCAAGCGUUAAUCGGAAUUACUGGGCGUAAAGCGCACGCAGGCGGUCUGUCAAGUCGGAUGUGAAAUCCCCGGGCUCAACCUGGGAACUGCAUUCGAAACUGGCAGGCUUGAGUCUUGUAGAGGGGGGUAGAAUUCCAGGUGUAGCGGUGAAAUGCGUAGAGAUCUGGAGGAAUACCGGUGGCGAAGGCGGCCCCCUGGACAAAGACUGACGCUCAGGUGCGAAAGCGUGGGGAGCAAACAGGAUUAGAUACCCUGGUAGUCCACGCCGUAAACGAUGUCUACUUGGAGGUUGUGCCCUUGAGGCGUGGCUUCCGGAGCUAACGCGUUAAGUAGACCGCCUGGGGAGUACGGCCGCAAGGUUAAAACUCAAAUGAAUUGACGGGGGCCCGCACAAGCGGUGGAGCAUGUGGUUUAAUUCGAUGCAACGCGAAGAACCUUACCUGGUCUUGACAUCCACAGAACUUUCCAGAGAUGGAUUGGUGCCUUCGGGAACUGUGAGACAGGUGCUGCAUGGCUGUCGUCAGCUCGUGUUGUGAAAUGUUGGGUUAAGUCCCGCAACGAGCGCAACCCUUAUCCUUUGUUGCCAGCGAUUAGGUCGGGAACUCAAAGGAGACUGCCAGUGAUAAACUGGAGGAAGGUGGGGAUGACGUCAAGUCAUCAUGGCCCUUACGACCAGGGCUACACACGUGCUACAAUGGCGCAUACAAAGAGAAGCGACCUCGCGAGAGCAAGCGGACCUCAUAAAGUGCGUCGUAGUCCGGAUUGGAGUCUGCAACUCGACUCCAUGAAGUCGGAAUCGCUAGUAAUCGUGGAUCAGAAUGCCACGGUGAAUACGUUCCCGGGCCUUGUACACACCGCCCGUCACACCAUGGGAGUGGGUUGCAAAAGAAGUAGGUAGCUUAACCUUCGGGAGGGCGCUUACCACUUUGUGAUUCAUGACUGGGGUGAAGUCGUAACAAGGUAACCGUAGGGGAACCUGCGGUUGGAUCACCUCCUUACCUGAAAGAA
This 1554-nucleotide ribosomal RNA is filed under the name Salmonella enterica subsp. enterica serovar Oranienburg str. 0250. Its description in RNAcentral is "bacterial SSU rRNA". It matches the Rfam family "Bacterial small subunit ribosomal RNA". Lineage: Bacteria; Pseudomonadati; Pseudomonadota; Gammaproteobacteria; Enterobacterales; Enterobacteriaceae. The record is from RNAcentral.